UCUCAAAAGAAUCAUAAAAAUAUUUUGAAAUAAGUUGCAGAUUUUAAGUUGGUUAAAAAGAUUUUUUCCACUUUAAAUUAUCUUAAUCUUUAUCCUAACUAAACCAGAUUUUUUAUUUGAUUUUGUGGAUAUCUUAAAUCUUUAUCUUAACUGAAUAAUAUUUUAUCUGAUAUUGUGGAUUUGAAUAACCAUAAGCACUAUAAAUAGGAGUGCAUUUAUGUGUUAUGGGAUACACACAAAAAACUAAAUAUUUCUCUUUUCUCUCUAUUGUUUCUUCUCUAUUUCUGAGUAAUUAAACAUAAGCUGCUGUUCUUGCUCCUGGGUUACUUGUAAUUCAGAAGGCUUGUUGAAUCCUGGAGGAUACGCAACUGUAGGCGAAUUAUCCUUAAGGACAGUGAUUAUUAUCACGCCUCAAGCAAUAUUCUGCUCAUCUUUUAUUUAUUUUCUCUAUCUUUUUCUACCAUUUUACAACAGAAUGCACAUUGAACGCUGGAAGAAAGCACUCCCAGUUGUCUGCAUGUAUAUGCCCCAUCAGCUAUGGACAAUUAGUCCUGUCCAUAAUUUUGACCCAAAUGGAUGGAAGGGAAUCAGAUAUGACUCAAUUACUAGUAGCUAAUGAUGCUCCUUUUUCUUCUCUCCAUUUCCUUAAAGCAGUGGCCAUGUGUCUUUUUGUCUAAGGAAAUGAUGUCAUGAGGUGAACUCCACAGGAAAUGCAUGGCAAUAAAUCUAUCAGAAAACAUGAAGUAAGCCUUAUAUGAUCAUGUAAAUCUUUGUCCUUUCUCUGUUUUAUUAUUUACCUAUUAUGUGGGUAGUAUGGCUUUGUCUUGUGUGUCAAAUGUUUUUUUUUGUCGGAAAAUGUUUACUAGAUUUCCUAUGUACUUCAUGAGGGUCAACAUAGAAGAAUGUAGUACGGUUUUAUACAUCCCUUUGCUUGAGGGGGAAGAGUAUCAUUUAACGUGAAAAUACAUGCAGAGUUUUUUUGGGAGCUCCAUACUCAUCAAAAGAGAAACGUUUGCAUUCUUGUUAAAGAGAAAACAAACAAAUUUUGAUGGUUAGUCAGAAAUUGAGUCCUGAAACUCAAGGGAAUGCACGUAAAUGUAUAAACUAAAUGUAUAAACUAGAUGCAUAAAGAGAAAAACAUACCUUCUGUGACAAUUCAAGGUCUAUAGAUAUGAGUCAGGUGAUCUGGAAAGUUUUAGGUUUGAGUUGAUGAUAUAUUACAUGUACUAUGUAUAUGGUCAGACAACAUUUUCAUGGAAUCGAGCAGAAAAUCAAUGAUAUUUUGGCCUUGCUUUCUCUUCACUGUCCUGAAAGAAGAGCACAAAGAAGGUGUAUUCUGAGAGUACCUGAAAAGUUGACAUCCACUUGCGACUUGGGAGAUCUCGAACUGUCCAAGCACAUUGCCAACACUCGCAUGCAGUUGGCUAGAAAAAGUUCAUUCUUGUAAGUGCAUUGGCAUGCGUACGGAAAUUCAUGCUAAGAUGUCAUGAAAUACCUAAAUCCCGACAUUGUCAUGAGGGGAAAGCCAAAGCAUUUAGAAUUACAUUAGAGAAACAAACAAAUUAAAUCUUCAUUUCCUCUGAAGAAUGAAACUCCCUCAUCUUCUAAAUUAGACUGCACUUCUUUUACUUAAAAAUCUGCACAGAUAAUUUCCUUUACCAAUAAACAAGUUCAAGGCUGCAUUGAAGAUUAUACAGAUAUAUCAACUCUAAUCUAAUUACAACACCUGUCUGAUCUUGCAUUAGAAGGGAUAUAUAAUCGGCAAGAAAGAAGGGAAAAAAGAUUAAUAAGAUUGAUUUUCAUUUUGCUUUUUAUGAUGGAGAAGGUUAAUCUGAAUAAAAUCCCUACUCUUAUAGAUUUAAGGUUAAAACACCACAAAUUUUUUGUAUAGAAGAAUAUAAACAAAUGAUAUUUCUGAAAAAACCAUACCCAUACAAAUGAUAUUCCCUUAAAAAAAUUAUGAAGAUUGAUAUUACCAAAUUCCUGCAAUAAUUGCUAUAAGCACUGAAAUUUACCAAUUCAUUGUAACAUGAAAGAAAAGAAUAAAAAGAGAGAAGGAAUUAAGAGGGAUAUUGGCACGGCUCAAUCAGAUUAAAGGACCCAAACCUUGGGAGAUUUGAUUUGAUUGAGCCAUCCCAACAUCACCUCUUUCUCUAUAAACGUACCAGAAUAAAUGAUCAUAAUCUGAGUUAAUUAUGAUGAGUGGAGCUUGUAUCACGAUGGAGAGAAUUGGCACAAGGGAAGAAGCCAGGAUUAUGAUUUAAUACAAACAGCUGA
This 2277-nucleotide long non-coding RNA is filed under the name Manihot esculenta (cassava). The record is from RNAcentral. Lineage: Eukaryota; Viridiplantae; Streptophyta; Magnoliopsida; Malpighiales; Euphorbiaceae.